UACGUAGGGGGCGAGCGUUGUCCGGAUUCAUUGGGCGUAAAGAGCUCGUAGGCGGCUUGGUAAGUCGGGUGUGAAACCCCCGGGCUCAACCUGGGGCCGCCACUCGAUACUGCCAUGGCUAGAGUCCGGUAGGGGCCUGUGGAAUUCCUGGUGUAGCGGUGAAAUGUGCAGAUAUCAGGAGGAACACCGGUGGCGAAGGCGGCAGGCUGGGCCGGUACUGACGCUGAGGAGCGAAAGCGUGGGGAGCAAACAGG
This 254-nucleotide ribosomal RNA is filed under the name uncultured bacterium. Its description in RNAcentral is "partial 16S ribosomal RNA". It matches the Rfam family "Bacterial small subunit ribosomal RNA", at positions 524 to 776 of the family's 1533-position model. The record is from RNAcentral.